GAUGAACGCUGGCGGCGUGCCUAAUACAUGCAAGUCGAGCGAACAGACGAGGAGCUUGCUCCUUUGACGUUAGCGGCGGACGGGUGAGUAACACGUGGAUAACCUACCUAUAAGACUGGGAUAACUUCGGGAAACCGGAGCUAAUACCGGAUAACAUGUAGAACCGCAUGGUUCAACAGUGAAGGACGGUCUUGCUGUCACUUAUAGAUGGAUCCGCGCCGCAUUAGCUAGUUGGUAAGGUAACGGCUUACCAAGGCAACGAUGCGUAGCCGACCUGAGAGGGUGAUCGGCCACACUGGAACUGAGACACGGUCCAGACUCCUACGGGAGGCAGCAGUAGGGAAUCUUCCGCAAUGGGCGAAAGCCUGACGGAGCAACGCCGCGUGAGUGAAGAAGGUCUUCGGAUCGUAAAACUCUGUUAUUAGGGAAGAACAAAUGUGUAAGUAACUAUGCACGUCUUGACGGUACCUAAUCAGAAAGCCACGGCUAACUACGUG
RNAcentral lists this ribosomal RNA (497 nucleotides) under uncultured bacterium. Its description in RNAcentral is "partial 16S ribosomal RNA". It matches the Rfam family "Bacterial small subunit ribosomal RNA", at positions 28 to 507 of the family's 1533-position model. The record is from RNAcentral.